RNAcentral lists this transfer RNA (93 nucleotides) under Lentinus tigrinus ALCF2SS1-6. It matches the Rfam family "tRNA". Rfam says of the family: Transfer RNA (tRNA) molecules are approximately 80 nucleotides in length. The record is from Rfam by way of RNAcentral. Lineage: Eukaryota; Fungi; Basidiomycota; Agaricomycetes; Polyporales; Polyporaceae.
GACACUAUGGCCGAGUGGUUAAGGCGACAGAUUCGAACCUGUUCGAUCAUCUGUUUCGUUCUGCGAGCGCAGGUUCAAAUCCUGUUGGUGUCG